Molecule: long non-coding RNA, 433 nt
Organism: Dermacentor silvarum
Lineage: Eukaryota; Metazoa; Arthropoda; Arachnida; Ixodida; Ixodidae
Exons: 2
Source: RefSeq, a predicted model, not a curated record
GCCAUUGUAAGAUGGCGACACUGGCGACUCCUAAUAUCAUCGUGUUUCUCGCUGUUUAUGUUAUCCUUCAGCCUUUGAGAGUACGUGGGCAGCUUGGAAGGCGACAGCAGUACCAAGCACAUAAUGAUCGAGCGCAUGGUCGACAUUCGCAAGCCAUCAAACCGGAUUUGCAGCAAAAGCCACAUUGCACAAGGUUGGAGAAAUUAAAGAGAUGCACGAGCGGAGUUUGCGGCGAGAAGAAAUGCUCGGACCUGUGGGUCACGUCAAGAGGGUGCGUCAGCGACUGCGAAUACGAGUGUGUCUGUCGUCAUGGUUUAUACCGAGACAAACGAGGCAAAUGCGUUCUUCCUUUUCAAUGCAAGAAAAGGGAUUACCUCUACGCGACGCGACCCGGCAGGUUAAGUACACUACAAUAAAAUGUGUGUCUGCGUAA